UUAUAAAAAAAAAAACUUAACCUUAGGUAUACCGGGUUUAGGCCACCACUUAUAUAAUUCUGUUUUACCGACGGCGACUCCACUCAUUGGACAAAAUGGCGUCGUACUGACCUGUCAAAGUCAAAAACUAUAAGAUUUGAUACUUUUCAUCCAGAAAUUUUUGGUCCCCCAAGACGAAGUUCAGCCCUACAAACGAUGAGACUUGCCUCACGACAUACUUGGAGAACAAAUUUCAAGUAUCAGUUUAUUAGAUAUAAAAUUACUCGGCUAC
This is a long non-coding RNA of Osmia lignaria (orchard mason bee), 271 nucleotides long. RefSeq lists it as uncharacterized. The record is from RefSeq and is a predicted model, not a curated record. NCBI's taxonomy places the organism in Eukaryota, Metazoa, Arthropoda, Insecta, Hymenoptera, Megachilidae.